GUGAACGUAGCUCAAUUGGUUAGAGCUCCGGAUUGUGGUUCCGGCGGUUGGGGGUUCGAGUCCCCUCGCUCACCCCA
Molecule: transfer RNA, 77 nt
Filed under: Synergistaceae bacterium
Lineage: Bacteria; Thermotogati; Synergistota; Synergistia; Synergistales; Synergistaceae
Description: tRNA-His
Rfam family: tRNA
About the family: Transfer RNA (tRNA) molecules are approximately 80 nucleotides in length. Their secondary structure includes four short double-helical elements and three loops (D, anti-codon, and T loops).
Source: RNAcentral